This 216-nucleotide ribosomal RNA is filed under the name uncultured Glomeromycotina. Its description in RNAcentral is "partial small subunit ribosomal RNA". The stretch from base 39 to 216 matches the Rfam family "Eukaryotic small subunit ribosomal RNA", at positions 685 to 864 of the family's 1831-position model. The record is from RNAcentral. Lineage: Eukaryota; Fungi; Glomeromycota.
GGGUCAGCAAGUUGGUCGUGCCACUGGUAUGCACUGGCUUUGCUGAUUCCUCCUUCUUGUAGAACCGUAAUGCCAUUAAGUUGGUGUUGCGGGGAAACAGGACUGUUACUUUGAAAAAAUUAGAGUGUUUAAAGCAGGCUCACGCUUGAAUACAUUAGCAUGGAAUAAUGAAAUAGGACGUUUGAUUCUAUUUUGUUGGUUUCUAGGAUCGACGUA